Long non-coding RNA from Hylaeus volcanicus, 2526 nucleotides. RefSeq lists it as uncharacterized. The transcript has 5 exons. The record is from RefSeq and is a predicted model, not a curated record. Lineage: Eukaryota; Metazoa; Arthropoda; Insecta; Hymenoptera; Colletidae.
UCGGUAUCAUUCAAUAUGCCGUGUUAUUAGGAAAAGUUUAGACGUGUGACGAAACGUUCCCGAGUAAAAUCUGUUAAACUAAACGUCUUGAUGGUGCUGCUGUUAUCGUAGUGGAAAUGAGGCUGUGUCGGGGUUUUAUGCACGUAACGAGAUAUCACCUUGAAAGUUCACUGCAACUACUGCAACCCUGCAGGGUCGUCGCACUCCGGUUUACAAAUUUCGACACGAGGACGAGGGAUCAGUCGUUUCGCGGAAAGUGGUGUGGUAAGACGUGUUUGGGGUUCUCCACGGCCAACAAGGAACGACAACCACGAGAAUGGCCGGCGUCACGCGAAACGAGCGCAGCUGGCUGAACCCUCGAGAAGCUGGCCAAAAGUCGGAGAAGGCUUUGGAUUUAAAUCAACGACGUCGUCAGGGACGCUAACGAUAAGAGCGCAUUCCGGUUUUCGUAACGUUCCCAGCGAUUCUGGUUUAUCUCGCGGAGCUUUUCGAGGGACAAACGGAACAAGGAAGCGAAAGGUAGGACACGGAGCGGAGGAACGCUCGAAAGAACGAAACGACAGGGACGGAGGAGAGUUGGCGAAAGAAGGUGCACACAGAGGGUAACGCAGAAGUUCGACCAUGGAACGAGGGUGAACUUUCAGCUUUUUAAGCUGUUUCGCUCCACUCCGUGACUUUGCACGGCCCGUUCAGGGUUACCAUGGCCUCGAACUACCCAGGACCCUGGGGAUAUUUGUUUAAGCGUCUUCGUCGACGACAAUUUCCCUGAGAGAAUUGCUUUCCAAACGCUGUGCCAGUUUGCACUUCGUGCCGUCCGCGUUCCUACUUCGUUACCUCGAAUCCUGUUGCUUUCCACCGUCCCUUUUCUUGAAUUUUUAACCCUCCACUGUUCGAGUCUACCGGGGCUGUCGCGCAGGCUCUGUUCGCGGGGUUGCUUAUCGCGGCCGAGGCAAGAAACUCCAUUGCUUCUAAAAAGCUCACGACACGCGAAUGGGUCUCGCGAGAAGAAGCUAGAAACGCGGGGAAACUCGACGGGUUUAUGAACAGUGGCGUAUUAUCCAACCUCUACGGGGUUCGGGACAAAAUCGUAUCUCGAGGACUGCACCUAAAGAAAAAAUGAAUCUGGAACACAUUUAAAUUCAACCUUAUUUUACUUAUACAUCACAAGAAGCAAAUUCUUAUGUUAAUAGAGAAUUAAUUUGAUAAAUUCGUUUGCUCUCCCUCUCUCGGUCGACCUUGGUAGUUUAUCGUUAGACAUUUGUAAAUUUGAAAGGAAUACUCAAGAAAUCAUAUGGAAGGGGUGCGUCAGCACUAAUGUUCGAUCAAUUUUCCCUGUGAAUUUAUCUUGUCGUCAGCAAACUUCGUCAGACUUACGAAGCCUCCUCAGAGGGGACAUCCGAGUUCGUAGGGUCAACUUCCGUCCCCAAUGGGUCAAAGAGUGCAAGCGAAUAGAUAUCGAAAAAUAAUAGCAGCAACGCUCGAUACGAACAAAUCACGGGUUUACCUCGACGUUUCACGUAUCAGAUAUUCAUCCGACGCGCAAUGGAAUCGACUCGUUCGGCUUUUAGGCUGUAACGUCGUUGAAUAACGUGUAACGGCGAUAUCGACGAUAAUUGUCGUUAAAGCAAACGUUGAAAUGUUCCGCGCGUCCUAUUGACACGAACGCGACCGACGGCGAUUUAAUUCGGCGCGCGAUAGUUUCGUGCUCGCCGAGAAAUCACGGUUCGUCAUUCGAGUCGCGACGAUGAUUCUAGCAAAUCGUGUUCAUCCGAAUUCUCUGCCGAGAACGAGAAUAUCCGUGAACGUACAGCGUCGAAAAUGUCAACCGUCUCUUUCAACACGCGAUACUCCCCCAGGAGCGAAGCUCCGUUCGAAGAUUUCUCAGGAGCUGAAAUAUUCAUCUCGACGAUGGAACUUGCUCGUAAGAACGGCGCGAAAAAUUUUCCAAAAAUUUCCACUCGAACAGGGCACAAACACGCGAGACUACGUUGUCGAUUGGACCACAAUGAUAUAGCGUUCCACUACCUGGGAAAGUGAGAUUAAACGAUUUUGGGAUUUAUUGGGGAUUCGUGCUCUUUGUUCGUGCAAUUUAUCGAACGGUUCCGUAAUACUCGAGUAAAAAUUUGGAAAAUUUCAGCAAUCGUGGAUUCUUAAGUUCUAUCUUUACCUAAUUGCCGCGUGAAGUAUGAGUUCGAAUAAUUUUGACAGAGCAAUAGUUUCCGGGGUUGCUUUGUUAUUCGAAGUAACGGGUGUUACGCGUGAUUUUCUAAGUUUGGAGUUUCGAACGUCUUCAACUUAUAGCUUCGGUCUUUCCUCAGCUCCAUUUUUGUAGGAAGUGGACACAUGAAAGUGUAGGAAUUAAAAAUAAGAGGAAACAGUAUCAAAAAGAAAUUGUUAACGAGAAACAAUCCGCUGCUCACACAAAGUUAUUUGUUAAGAAAUUUGUCCUCAUACUUUCCCUCAAAACCUACUUUUUUAAAAUCUGCCUCGACGGUAGAAGGCCAGAGAGUCAUUUAACAAGUACGC